Cydia fagiglandana is the source of this 1774-nucleotide long non-coding RNA. RefSeq lists it as uncharacterized. NCBI's taxonomy places the organism in Eukaryota, Metazoa, Arthropoda, Insecta, Lepidoptera, Tortricidae. The record is from RefSeq and is a predicted model, not a curated record. The transcript has 2 exons.
GCUUUCGAUGAUUGUCAAAACGCUUUACCUGAAAUUAGCAUAGCUAUUAUUCAUUCAAUAUACGACCAUACAUGUAUGCUUUAAACGUCUAUUUUUUCAUAUUGUUCAGAUAUAUUUGACACGUUGACCGCUUAGAUACCAGUGGUUUUUUGACAGCUAAGGUAUCAAUGAUUUGUUGUAAGUGUAUAAAUUAAUGAAUAGCGACUGUUAAGAUAUUUGUGACAUGUUGAGCGCUCACAGGUAAAUGCUACCAUGACAGUCAACAACUUUUUGACAGUUUAAACGUUUACCUCUCUUUGAGCACCUGGAGUGUAUAGCGACUUCUGCUGCUGACUGUACCAAUGGUUCUGAGUAACAUGAUUUAAAAGCCUCUUUUUAUUUUCUUUUUGGAAUUCACUCUUAACAUGGUUUUGCUUUCGACGGACUGAAAGAUUUUACUUUCGAAGGACUGAAAGUACGCCCGAUGGACUGGGCACUACUAUUUUGCUUUCGAUGGACUGAAGGCACGCCCGAUGGACUGGGUAUUGUUUAGUGACCGCAUCAGAAGUGCCGGAGCAUGUAAGAGGUGCAAGUGGUCUGCUUUUUAUGUGCAGAAUGCUCUUUGCGAGGAGUAGCACUUACGCGGCUGAGAUGGUUACUUCUGACGAGGGUCUGGUAUCUGCCGAAGGACUGGCAAUGCACCGAAGGACUGGUGUUGUUUUGUUAAAAAUGAAUUCCCGUUGAUGUACUGUGUUCAUAUGAGUAAAAUUGGCAUUAUUAAGUCAGUGUGCUAUUUAUUUUAAGAUGUCCUACAAUGAUUAUUAUCACAUAUGACCAAAGAUUUUUUUCUUAAUGCCAGAUAAUUUUCCCGUAAAUUGAUAUUGAUGACAAUAGUAGUGAUACUGUCGAGCAAUGAAUUAGAGCUGUUGUGAUUUGUGUUUUUGAUGUUUGAGAUUGUUCUGUUUUCACACAAAUUUGAGUGUAUCCGCUAGAUAGCGGCGAUGAUUACUGAUUAUUUUUUAUUUAGUCGUUGCUCGAUGGACUAUUUUUGACUAGAGAAUUGAGGAUUGUUAAAGUAAUUUUGAACAAUUAUUUUUUUUGGUUGGAUUGGUAACAAAGUUUGAUUUUAAUAGUAAUUUGAGUGAGACCCAAAUUGUGGGUCAGGAAUGACCGAGCGAUGAGAUACUGUGCUGAGUAUUUUGUUACAGAAUCAAAUGCAUACACCCACACACGAGGACGUGUGUAGCGCAGGAUGGCCGUGUCGGAGCCUGACACCAGAAAGACGUAUUGCAGCGUUAUAGUUCUUUAUUUUAGACGCCUGUAUAAAAUCGAUUAGCAAUGUUGAGCUACGUAUUAUUUGGUUGUAACAAAAUAAAUAAAGUUGUGUAGAGAGUAACGCCGUCUAUUGGCGCAUUGUGGAAAUAAAAUGACAGGUAGAAGGCUUUGGAACGUCGAGAGGUUUUUCUCGAGUGAGCGUAGGCACGAGUGGCAUUUUUGUCGGUAUGUUGGUAGACUGGUCGAGCAGGUUUGCCAACUUGACUUGAAGCGGGAGCAGGGUGGCUCCGCCGCUGGUAGUUCUUCUUGAUCGGACCGCGCUAGAGAUCGGACGUACUCGUUAGCCAACCUCGUGCCUAACUCGCUACGUUCCUGAAGGCUUAUACCUGAAGGAUUAUUCUGAUAGCUUAUAGAAUCUAGCCUUCUUUAACCAUUUAGCUAAGUGUUUUAUUUCAAGUGUUAUUUUGGUUUCUUAUGUUUCAUUAGAAGCUUACUUUUGUGAAAUAAAGAAAGGAUGUGU